UACAGAGGGUGCAAACGUUGCUCGGAAUUAUUGGGCGUAAAGCGCAUGUAGGCGGCACGGUAAGUUGACUGUGAAAGCCCUUGGCUCAACCAAGGAAGUGCAGUCAAAACUGCCGAGCUCGAGUUCUGAAGAGGGUCGCGGAAUGGCCAGUGUAGAGGUGAAAUUCGUAGAUAUUGGCUAGAACACCAGUGGCGAAGGCGGCGACUUGGGAAGAUACUGACGCUGAGAUGCGAAAGCGUGGGGAGCAAACAGG
This 253-nucleotide ribosomal RNA is filed under the name uncultured bacterium. Its description in RNAcentral is "partial 16S ribosomal RNA". It matches the Rfam family "Bacterial small subunit ribosomal RNA", at positions 524 to 776 of the family's 1533-position model. The record is from RNAcentral.